GUGUCAGCAGCCGCGGUAAAACGUAGGUGGCAAGCGUUAUCCGGAUUUACUGGGCGUAAAGGGUGUGCAGGCGGGCGGUCAAGUGGUGUAUGAAAUAUCCUGGCUCAACCAGGAGAGGUUAUGCCAGACUGACCGUCUUGAGUGCGAGAGAGGGGCGUGGAAUUCCGGGUGUAGUGGUGAAAUGCGUAGAGAUCCGGAGGAACCCCAGAGGCGAAGGCGGCGCCCUGGCUCGCAACUGACGCUCAUACACGACAGCAUGGGGAGCGAACGGGAUUAGAAACCCCUGUAGUCC
Molecule: ribosomal RNA, 292 nt
Filed under: uncultured bacterium
Lineage: Bacteria
Description: partial 16S ribosomal RNA
Rfam family: Bacterial small subunit ribosomal RNA
Source: RNAcentral